AUUGAACGCUGGCGGCAGGCUUAACACAUGCAAGCCGAGCGGAGCGAAGGUGCUUGCACCUUAGCUUAGCGGCGGACGGGUGAGUAAUGCUUAGGAAUCUGCCUAUUAGUGGGGGACAACGUUUCGAAAGGAACGCUAAUACCGCAUACGUCCUACGGGAGAAAGCAGGGGAUCUUCGGACCUUGUGCUAAUAGAUGAGCCUAAGUCGGAUUAGCUAGUUGGUGGGGUAUAGGCCUACCAAGGCGACGAUCUGUAGCGGGUCUGAGAGGAUGAUCGGCCACACUGGGACUGAGACACGGCCCAGACUCCUACGGGAGGCAGCAGUGGGGAAUAUUGGACAAUGGGCGAAAGCCUGAUCCAGCCAUGCCGCGUGUGUGAAGAAGGCCUUUUGGUUGUAAAGCACUUUAAGCGAGGAGGAGGAGCUUCAGGUUAAUACCCUGGAUGCUUGGACGUUACUCGCAGAAUAAGCACCGGCUAACUCUGUGCCAGCAGCCGCGGUAA
RNAcentral lists this ribosomal RNA (501 nucleotides) under uncultured bacterium. Its description in RNAcentral is "partial 16S ribosomal RNA". It matches the Rfam family "Bacterial small subunit ribosomal RNA", at positions 30 to 523 of the family's 1533-position model. The record is from RNAcentral.